RNAcentral lists this long non-coding RNA (587 nucleotides) under Homo sapiens (human). RNAcentral's name for it is "HSALNT0318104". The record is from RNAcentral. Lineage: Eukaryota; Metazoa; Chordata; Mammalia; Primates; Hominidae.
CAAAAGCUUGGUCAGGACGUCAGGAAUAAGCUGCUUCUGAGAGAGGGUGAUGUCUUCACCACAGCAGAUCCCCCAGGAGAAGUCAUCCUUGUCCAGCGGACACGCGGAGGCGCUGUGCUCAUGCUGGGAUGCAGACCAAACCCCACCGCCUCCAGGAGGAACCAUUCCUGUCCCCGGGCCAGCUGGCAGGAGCCAGGAGAUGAGGUUCUCCAGGGUGAAAUCCAGAGGGGUCUCACAGAGGAGGUGUGUCUGAGCCUCAAAGCAGCCCCUAAACCGAUGAAGGUCACCAAAGCACACCCAGAGAAUGUUUCCAUGGCCUAAGAAGAAUGUGCCUUCCGAGUCCCCGGCUAAGGAAUCCAGGAGUGGCCAACCCAGAGAUUCACCUCUUACCCAUGAGGAACAGGCCCUGGCCCAUCCCUUGGAAUGCAGGCCCUGCGGGGGUCAAGGCCCUCUGUUCUGGGUUGGGAGGAGGUUGCUAGGGGGAGGGUGCGGAGGGAAAAAGCUACAUAAACUGCAGGCUUCUUACAAACUGGAGCGGCUCCCCUGUCCAGCCCACUGCCAGCAGACUGUCCCUGCAUGUAACUUCC